CCUACUACAACCUUACCUGUGACAACAUUCCUUACCUAAUACAUGACCAUACUAUGCUAGACUUUUCAAUCACACAAACACCAUAACUUAAACUUGAAUUAGGUACAACAAAAAUACAAGACAUUUGACAAAAAAAGUGUCAAUCCAAUAUCAAUACUCCUCCUUGACACUUUUGCUGGAAACACCAAGGCAUUUCCUUAAUGUUUCAAACCUUCAUUUAGACAAAUAUUUUGUUAUAAUAUCAGCAUAUCAAUCCUCAGAAUUGCAAUGCACAAGCUUCACUUCCUAUCUUCUUGAGCUUCCCUGAUUGAAUGGUAGUUGAUCUUGAUGUGUUUUGUUCUUCCAUGAAACAUCAAUCUUUACCAUUGCCACAGCAAAGUGGUUAUCACAAUAGAUAACAGUUGCAUCAGCUUGGUUGUGCUUAAGAUCCUCCAAACUUUUCUCAACCAAAUUUCUUGAUUAGUGGCUUCUGAUGGAGCAAUAUACUCUACCUAUGUUUGAUUAAGCCAUCAUUUUCUGCUUCAUUGAGUUCCAAUACACAACACUUGAGCCAAAAUAAAACACAUAACCAGAGGUGCUUUUCAUGUCUUCAAGAGAUCCAGCCUAAUCACUAUCAAUAAAACCAGUUAAAACUAGAGUUUCUGACUUCCUAAACUAGAUUCCCAGCUCCUCAUUCACUCUUAUGUAUCUAAGAAUUCUUUUUGCAGCUUGAAAGUGUAAUUUACUUGGCUCUUGUCUGAAUCUGGACAGAAUAUUUGCAGCAAAUGUAAUAUCUAGUCUUGUGAUUGUUAGAUACAACAAGCAUCCCACCAAACUUCUAUAGAUCUUUUCAUCAGAUUUAUUACCACCAUCUUCCUUUAUCAGUUUUGAGUUUUGUACCAAGGAAAUACUUACUGGUUUGCAAUUCUCCAUAUUGAUUUUUUUCAAGACUUCCUUAGCAUACCUCCUUUGGUAUACCAAAAUUCCUUCUUGUGAUUGAUUUAUCUCUUUUCCUAGAAAAUAUUGCAUUUUCCCAAAAUCAGUUAUGUCAAAUGCCUUUUUCAAUUCUUCUUUCACACUUCCAAUUAAUGCCUGAUUGCUGUCAAUUAUAAAAAGGUCAUCAACAUACAAGGAGAUGAUGAUCAUUUAUUCCUCCACUUGCUUUAUAUAAAGUGUUUGUUCAUUAACACUUUUGAUGAAACCAAGGCUGCCCAAGUGAUCAUCAAUCAUGUUGUAACAAGCUCUUGGAGCCUGCUUCAAACCAUACAAAGCCUUCUUCAACAAAUAGACUUUGUCUUCUUCUCCAGCCACAAAGAAACCUUCUGGUUGUUCAAUGAAAUUUUUUUCAUUUAAGUGUCUAUUUAGGAAGGCCGAUUUAACAUCCAAUUGAUGUAAUUUCCAACCUCAUUGAGCAGUUAUAGCAAACAAUAAUAUGAUUGUUUCAUACCGGCCACUGGAGCAAAUGUAUCUGUGAAAUCAAUACCAUAUUGCUGAGCAUAACCUUUUACAACCUACUGGCUUUGAGUUUUUUGAUUGAACCAUCAAAAUUCAGUUUGGUUUUGUACACGCAUAUAACUCCAAUCACAUUCUUAUCCUUUGGUCUAUCAACCAACACCUAGGUUUCAUUCUUUUCAAUCAUACUUAGCUCCUUCUUCAUUGUAGCCAACCAACCUUGUGAAUUUACUGCUCCAUUGAAGUUUGAAGGCU
Molecule: long non-coding RNA, 1686 nt
Filed under: Olea europaea subsp. europaea
Lineage: Eukaryota; Viridiplantae; Streptophyta; Magnoliopsida; Lamiales; Oleaceae
Source: RNAcentral